This 84-nucleotide transfer RNA is filed under the name Caenorhabditis elegans. RNAcentral describes it as "tRNA-His (GTG) (tRNA-His-GTG-1-1)". It matches the Rfam family "tRNA". Rfam says of the family: Transfer RNA (tRNA) molecules are approximately 80 nucleotides in length. Their secondary structure includes four short double-helical elements and three loops (D, anti-codon, and T loops). Lineage: Eukaryota; Metazoa; Nematoda; Chromadorea; Rhabditida; Rhabditidae. The record is from RNAcentral.
GCCACGGUGGCCGAGUGGUCAAGGCGUGAGCUUGUGGCGCUCAUGGGGUUAAACCCAUCGCAGGUUCGAAUCCUGCCCGUGGCA